Molecule: ribosomal RNA, 301 nt
Filed under: uncultured bacterium
Lineage: Bacteria
Description: partial 16S ribosomal RNA
Rfam family: Bacterial small subunit ribosomal RNA
Source: RNAcentral
CAGUAGCCGCGGGAAUACCGAGGGUGCGAGCGUUAAUCGGAUUUACUGGGCGUAAAGCGUGCGUAGGCGGCUUCUUAAGUCGGAUGUGAAAUCCCUGAGCUUAACUUAGGAAUUGCAUUCGAUACUGGGAAGCUAGAGUAUGGGAGAGGAUGGUAGAAUUCCAGGUGUAGCGGUGAAAUGCGUAGAGAUCUGGAGGAAUACCGAUGGCGAAGGCAGCCAUCUGGCCUAAUACUGACGCUGAGGUACGAAAGCAUGGGGAGCAAACAGGAUUAGAGACCCCUGUAGUCCCUGUCUCUUAUAC